This 253-nucleotide ribosomal RNA is filed under the name uncultured bacterium. RNAcentral describes it as "partial 16S ribosomal RNA". It matches the Rfam family "Bacterial small subunit ribosomal RNA", at positions 524 to 776 of the family's 1533-position model. The record is from RNAcentral.
UACAGAGGUCUCAAGCGUUGUUCGGAUUUACUGGGCGUAAAGAGCGCGCAGGCGGUCGUUCAAGUCGCGUGUGAAAGCCCCCGGCUCAACUGGGGAGGGUCACGCGAUACUGAUCGACUCGAAGGCAGGAGAGGGAAGUGGAAUUCCCGGUGUAGUGGUGAAAUGCGUAGAUAUCGGGAGGAACACCAGUGGCGAAGGCGACUUCCUGGCCUGUUCUUGACGCUGAGGCGCGAAAGCUAGGGGAGCAAACGGG